Misgurnus anguillicaudatus (oriental weatherfish) is the source of this 917-nucleotide long non-coding RNA. RefSeq lists it as uncharacterized. Lineage: Eukaryota; Metazoa; Chordata; Actinopteri; Cypriniformes; Cobitidae. The record is from RefSeq and is a predicted model, not a curated record.
CAUAACUUACGCACGACUAUAAAUCGCCCUUAAUGUCAGACACCAAACGGUCUGCGCAGCGCCGCAUGAAGUCCAAUAUGCCUCUGUAAAAAAUGGUUUGGUCAAUUCAACAAACCGGUUUGUGUUUGUGUAUGUAACUGGCGGUCGUUAUGGGAAAUAUGAGCGAUAUGGAUGGCAAAUUAAAGUCAAGUGCAUGAGGAACAUCGUCAAGUCCCACAGGUGAAAGCGAGAUGGACAUCCACAGAGGAAGUCAUAUGAGUUUGAAAUGACAUAAGGAUUCCUCUUGCUCAAGGCUGCCGUCGACUCCAACGUAUUGACGACCAGUUUGCCUCCCCAGACGAAUGCAUUAGUAAUCUGCAAGCGAGGCCGUGUGGAGAAGAAAGAGAGAGAGAAAGGGAGAAAGAGAGAGAGAGAGAGCAUCUUACUGCACUCUGCAAACAUCAACAGGCAUGUACCAUAUUCAUCGACCUUAUCAGAAUGAUGCUCAUCAGGGGCCUGGGCUCUUAUGGCCCUCAGCCUGGCUCCAGCAGUCCCGCUCUGCCUUAUUAGUGUGCCGGUGAGGCCUUCUUAUCACCAUGGCAAUCUGCUGCUCAUAAACAAUGCAGCAGCCAUGGGAGAUCCACCUGGACCAGAGGAGACAGAGAGAUUGAGGUGUUGAAGACAUGAGCAAUGAGGCAUGUGCACUUUCUCUCUCUCACACACAUACACUUACAUAAUAUGCACUGAUCCACUGAGAUUGAUUUUCUGAAAUUAUCAGAGAGAAGGGACAACCAUUUCCUUUCCCUACUUUGAUCCACAUUACAUUUGAGAGUCUGUAUUCACUGGAGAAUACGGUUGUUACAGUAUAUGUACAGUAGUGCUUGAUACAUUUACUGUAAAUACAUAGACAUGUCAGUUAAUAAAGACUAUAUUAUAAU